UUCUCCAUCUGCUCUCUCCUCUCUUCAGCUCUCUCCUCUCUUCAGACCCAAACAGCAUACUCCUCCCAACAUCAACAUCAACAUCACACACCAUGUGGAUUCGCUGAAGCUCAACUGAUUCACCCUCACCCAUCUCCAUUGCCGACGCUUCACACGGCGUCUCAUCUCAGACCCAUCUCCAAAUCCCGAUUCACCCUCACCCUCAACCGAUUUAAUCAGACCCAUCUCCAAAUCCCUUUACCGAUUCACCCUCACCCUCACUCAUCUCAUAAACCCAACACUCUAGAUAGUACCCAUUUAACUCUUCACUCUAUCACUCUCUCUUCAAACCGACACUCAAGGUUCAACUAAGCUCCGUCGGUGUGGGGGAUUCAGCUCCAUCGGUGUUGGUGCUAACUGUAAGAGAUUCAACUUCAUCAACGACGGGUUUUCGCUCUCUGGCACGGGAUUAGCAUCAUAAAAAAAUUUGCUCAGGUUCAUCUUCCAUACCAGUUCUUUGUGUCUUGCCCCUUGGCCAGCUUCCAGAUCUUAUUAGAGUUUAUUGUUUAAUGGAAGUGUAAUUUUCCAUCUUUCCAAAGUGUAUUAUACUCUCCUGAAAGUUACAGUGGUGGUUGUUCCUAUUUUCUGGUAUCACCUACCAUUAAGGACCAACAACAAAUUUGGCAUCUUGGUAUAGUGAUUGUGGCUGUCCUCAUAAAAUUUGGCUGUCAUAAAGUUUAUUGUGGCUGUCAUAAAUUUGGACCGAAAACAAAUUUAUGCAUUUGAUUGUGGCUGUCAUAAAGUUACGUUACAGUGGUGGUUGUUCCUUGUUUUCUGGUAUAGUGAUUGUGGCUGUCAUAAAAUUUGGCAUCUUGGUAAA
Long non-coding RNA from Quercus robur (English oak), 859 nucleotides. RefSeq lists it as uncharacterized. NCBI's taxonomy places the organism in Eukaryota, Viridiplantae, Streptophyta, Magnoliopsida, Fagales, Fagaceae. The record is from RefSeq and is a predicted model, not a curated record. The transcript is spliced from 3 exons.